CCUCCAUUUCCUCCACACUCCUGGACAGGCUGAGUACUGGACAGUGCUGGGGCAGUGAUGGGCACAGUGGGUGCACCCAGCCCCAUGAGAGCCGCCCUCCUCUCUGAGACCCUAGCCCUGAGUGAAGAGCCAGGCUAGGGGCAGGAGAGGCCCUGGCCUUCAGGUGGGAGAGAGUCUCCGGGAAUCAAAGCUUCCCAUCUGAGCGGCAAAGGGGCCUCCGCACGGUGCUGAGUUGCAGCCUGCUACCAAGGGAACAAAAAGAAAUUUUACCUGUUAUCUUCCUUUAUUUGUGGCCGCGCUGGAUCGUCACUGCUGCGUGGUCUUCACUGCGGCGAGAAUGGGCUACUCUGUCAUGGCGUGCGGGCUUCUCCUUGCGGUGGCUUCCCUUAUUGCACAGCACAGGCUCUAAGGGAUGCGGGCUUCAUACCUUAGCUGCAGCAUGUGGACUCAGCAGUUGCGGUGCAUGGGGCUUAGUUGCUCUGCAGCAUGUGAGAUCUUCCCAGACCAGGGAUCCAAUUCGUGUCCCCUGCAUUGGCAGGUCAAGUCUUAACCACUGGACCGUCCCCCUCAUAUUGCUAAUGUACACAAAAUAAAUAUUUCAUCUCACCUAUUUACUGUAUUUUUGGCAUUUAUCCAUCCUGAGUUUACACCCCAUUUCAGUCUUCCCCGACACGGGUUCACACGGGUCAUGGAAUUUUUCUCUGUGUCUCCAGGAGGCAAAGCUACUUGUGUCCUUGUAGCCAUCAUUGCCAAAACAAAAAAAACCUCACUUUAUACAUUUCAUAAAAAUGAGUGGCCUGACUUGGAAAUAUUGUGGAACCGGCUCCUUGGGGACAUGGAUUGCACACUGCCAUGAUGCUGUUGAGGCAGCAGGCAUGGGGUGAAGGCUCAACAAACAGGCCUGGAUGAUUGUUAUUGCUGCUGUUCAUGGGGGUUGGUAUAGCUGAUAAUUCCUAAUCUUUUCCUCCUUCACAUCACAGGUUACAGGGUCACUUCUCAAAGUUACUAAUUGGCACUAAAUGGUAAGAAGCCAGUUGUGAGAAUGAGGCAAGUUAUCUGUCCUUGCGCUGGAGAGAUGGUUACCGUGGCAGUCGGCCUGCAAGAUGGUCUCCAGACGAUUUCCACCCUCUUCAGCCCUUCCCACAAUGAAGAGGGCUGCCCCCGCGGGGCCAAGAGGACAGUGUGGAAAGGACCACACGUGCAUUCCAAGGCACCAGGGUUUCAGUCUCGCUGGCAUCCAUCUAGGGGAAGCCAUAUACUGAGGAAACUCAAGCAGCUCUGUGGAGGACUCCAUGGGGCAAGAAACCAAGGCCUCCUGCCAACAGCCAGCCAGUGAGCACUCCAUCUUGGAAGCCGGAAGCCAAUCCCGCAGCCCCAGUCAGAUGAGAGCAGCCCCAGCUGAUGUUUGGACUGCAACUUCAGUGGAGACCACAAACUGGGACCAGCCAGUUACGUUGUUGUGCAGUUGCUGAGUCAUGUCUGACUCUUUGCAAACCCAUGGACUGCAGCACGGCAGGCUUCCCCUGCCCUUCACUAUCUCCCAGAGUUUGCUCAAAUCAUGUCCAUUGAAUUGGUGAUGCCAUCCAACCAUUUCAUCCUCUGUCACCCCCUUCUCCUCCCGCCCAGUUACGGCACUUCUGAAUUCCUGAGCCACAGACCCUUUGAGAUAAUAAAUACCUAUUGUUCUGAAGCGCUAAGUUAGGAGUGAUUUGUUACACAGCAGUAGGUAACUGAUACGGAAACAGAGAGACCUUUAGUUAUGAGGCUGUUCCCAAAGUAUGUUCCUUGGAAU
This is a long non-coding RNA of Ovis aries (sheep), 1792 nucleotides long. Lineage: Eukaryota; Metazoa; Chordata; Mammalia; Artiodactyla; Bovidae. The record is from Ensembl.